RNAcentral lists this long non-coding RNA (995 nucleotides) under Pongo abelii (Sumatran orangutan). Its description in RNAcentral is "lincRNA". The record is from RNAcentral. Lineage: Eukaryota; Metazoa; Chordata; Mammalia; Primates; Hominidae.
GGUGGAGGCGGAAGUGACUGAUCAAUUCAGGGGUGUGGGGUUCGUUUAGGUUUUGCCCUGUGUAUGACCUCUUUUGGAGCCAUGAAACCAGGGCACUGAAGAUAUUAUUUAUAUUCAGAGGCUAUGUUGGUUUGGAGAAGGAAAGGUGGCUUUUCUACAAUAUAAAGAUGGAAAUGGGAUGAAGAUGUUCAUUGCAAAUUAGGAAAGCUCUUCCACAAGUUCACCAAUGGAAAUAACAUCAAGAGUUUUUCAUCGUCUUAGUGUGCAAGAUAAAUAUCAAGGAGUGCAAUUCCUGGAUUUAUGAUGUCUGAGGAAUAGUCUUAGUGGAUUAUCCCAAACUUGACACAUUUUUUGCAAAAUGCUAUACAAAAAGAAGAUACAUGUGAUUAUGACAAGAUUCUCCACUUGGUGUGACCGGUCUCAUACAACCCAAGGCUGUGUGUCCAAACGCAAUUGCACUUCUGGGACUGGAAACAAAUUGGGAACAUUUUUCAUUGCAUAUUUGGCUCAGAUCUGUGACUUAGUUGAAGUAUAAUCUUCAGCAAGUGACUCAAAAUUUCUGAAUCUCGUUUUCACCAUCAAUACAAGACAACAAUAAUAUUUUCUCUUUUAAGUAUUUGGAAGUGUUGAGAAAGCCAUAAUAGCAACACUUGCAAAAGGGCUCCAUUGUAAAAUGCAAGGUAGAGGUAGUUGUGACCCUUUGGGGAAAACUAUAGUUGCCACAAUUAUCUCUGAAGUGAAGCACGUUUCUUAGACUGAAGGAAAGCCCUGGGAGAGAUUGGUCUAGCUUUAGCAUGACUGUGGGUAGAGCUUCUAGGGAGAAGAAUGAAAUGUAUUCCUCUUUUCCUUCUCUCUAGGAAUACUGGAAAGCAUUUAUUUGUUUGCUAAAUUGCUCUCUUUCCACCAGUGAUAUCGAUUCUGAAAUACUUUUUAGAUCUUGACAAUAAUCAAAAUGUAGCCAGGUGCAUUGGGGAAAGCACUGACAUCGGCGUCAG